This is a ribosomal RNA of 375 nucleotides. It matches the Rfam family "Eukaryotic small subunit ribosomal RNA", at positions 582 to 975 of the family's 1831-position model.
AUUCCAGCUCCAAUAGCGUAUAUUAAAGUUGUUGCAGUUAAAAAGCUCGUAGUUGAACUUCUGGCUAUUCUUCCUGCUGGCUUCGGUCGCUGUAAGAGUGGUCAUCCGCUUGGGAACUACGUUCGAACUUCACUGUUCGGCGUAAGGAACAGGCAUUUUACUUAGAAAAAAUUAGAGUGUUCAAGGCAGGCUAUCGCCCUGAAUACACAAGCUUGGAAUAAUGAAAUAGGACUAUUUCCAUUUUAUUGGUUAUUGGAAUUAGUAGUGAUUAAUAGGGACAGUUGGGGACAUUAGUAUUUAAUUGUCAGAGGUGAAAUUCUUGGAUUUAUUAAAGACUAACUUAUGCGAAAGCAUUUGUCAAGGAUGUUUUCAUCA